This 1517-nucleotide ribosomal RNA is filed under the name Eryx miliaris. RNAcentral describes it as "16S ribosomal RNA". It matches the Rfam family "Bacterial large subunit ribosomal RNA". Lineage: Eukaryota; Metazoa; Chordata; Lepidosauria; Squamata; Erycidae. The record is from RNAcentral.
GCUAAAACUUAGUCCAACCAACAUACAAAAAUACACUAUAUAACAAAACAAACCAUUUGACAAACCAAGUAGAUGCGAUCGAACAUUAAACCAGGCACAAUAGCUAAAGUACCGCAAGGGAACAACAAGUAAAGCAAAAAACAGCAGAGAUUAAACCUCGUACCUUUUGCAUCAUGGUUUAGCAAGCAAACCGGACAAGACGAACCAAAGCCCCAGACCCCGAAACCAAGUGAGCUACUUUAAAGCAGCCAACCAGGGCGAACCCGUCUCUGUAGCAAAAGAGUGGGAAGACUUAAAAGUAGAGGCGAAACACCUACCGAACUUGGAGAUAGCUGGUUACCCAAAAAAGAACCUAAGUUCAACUUUAGACUAAAAUAAGCCACAAUUAGCCCUCUAAAGAAAUUCAAUAGGGGUACAGCUCUAUUGAAACAGGAUACAACCUGACAUUGUGAGUAAAACAACCACCAAACACAAGUAGGCCUUAAAGCAGCCACCUUAAAAAAUAUCGUUAAAGAAUUACAAAAAAAAUACCAAAAUUAACCAAUAACUCCAACCAAACUAAAGGGUUAACCUAUAAAUAUAGAUGAACUUAUGCUAAAACUAAUAAUAAGAAACCCUCUCUAAGCACAACCAUACGUUAGAAACAGAAACCCUACUAACAAUUAACAGACCACAAGAGGACACAUAAAAACACAAUUCACAACCUAUUUACAAACUGUUACACCGACACAGGAGUGCAAAAAAGAAAGAUAAAAAGUUACAAAAGGAACUCGGCAACCAAUGGCUCCAACUGUUUACCAAAAACAUAACCUUUAGCCAAAACAGUAUUAAAGGCGAUGCCUGCCCAGUGAAACAUUUAAACGGCCGCGGUACCCUAACCGUGCAAAGGUAGCGUAAUCAUUUGUCUAUUAAUUGUAGACCAGUAUGAAAGGCCACAUGAGAGCCAAACUGUCUCUUGUAACCAAUCAAUUAAACUGAUCUUCUAGUACAAAAGCUAGAAUAACCAUAUAAGACCAGAAGACCCUGUGAAGCUUAAACUAACCUACUAAACAAACUAGUAGCUACUUUCGGUUGGGGCGACCUUGGAACAAAGCAAAACUUCCAAACACAAUGAGCCAUCCCUCAUAACUACUAGGCAAACAAGCCAACAUAUGACCCAGUAACACUGAUAACUGAACCAAGUUACUCCAGGGAUAACAGCGCUAUCUUCUUCAAGAGCCCUUAUCAAAAAGAAGGUUUACGACCUCGAUGUUGGAUCAGGACACCCAGGUGGUGCAGCCGCUACCAAAGGUUCGUUUGUUCAACGAUUAACAGUCCUACGUGAUCUGAGUUCAGACCGGAGCAAUCCAGGUCAGUUUCUAUCUAUAAAAUGCCAUUUCCAGUACGAAAGGAUCGAAAUGACAAAGCCAAUACCAAAGGCACGCUUUAACAAAAAAAAUAAAUAAAUUAAAUCUCAAAAUUAUCAAACCACAAACCUAGAAAAGGUUAGUUAAGAAAACAACAACAUUUAAAUCUUA